Molecule: ribosomal RNA, 870 nt
Filed under: uncultured archaeon
Lineage: Archaea
Description: bacterial SSU rRNA
Rfam family: Archaeal small subunit ribosomal RNA
Source: RNAcentral
CUCCGGUUGAUCCCGCCGGGACCUGACUGCUAUCGGAUUGGUACUAAGCCAUGCGAGUCAUUGUAGCAAUACAAGGCGGACGGCUCAGUAACACGUAGUCAACCUAACUCGUGGACGUGGAUAACCUCGGGAAACUGAGAAUAAACCACGAUAGACCAUAGUGCCUGGAAUGGCUUAUGGUCCAAACAGUUUACUGCCAUGGGAUGGGACUGCGGCCUAUCAGCUUGUUGGUGAGGUAAUGGCCCACCAAGGCGAUUACAGGUACGGGCUCUGAGAGGAGAAGCCCGGAGAUGGGUACUGAGACACGGACCCAGGCCCUAUGGGGCGCAGCAGGCGAGAAACCUUAGCAAUGUGCGAAAGCACGACUGGGUCAGUCCGAGUGAUUCCUGAUAAAGGAGUCUUUUACUUGUCCUAAAAGCACAGGUGAAUAAGGGGUGGGCAAGUCUGGUGUCAGCCGCCGCGGUAAUACCAGCACCUCGAGUGGUCAGGACGUUUAUUGGGCCUAAAGCAUCCGUAGCCGGCUUUGCAAGUCUUCGGUUAAAUCCACCUGCUCAACAGAUGGGCUGCUGGAGAUACUACAAAGCUAGGGAGUGGGAGAGGCAGACGGUAUUCAGUGGGUAGGGGUAAAAUCCUCUGAUCCAUUGAGGACCACCAGUGGCGAAGGCGGUCUGCCAGAACACGUUCGACGGUGAGGGAUGAAAGCUGGGGGAGCAAACCGGAUUAGAUACCCGGGUAGUCCCAGCUGUAAACGAUGCAAACUCGGUGAUGCAUUGGCUUAUGGCCAAUGCAGUGCCGCAGGGAAGCCGUUAAGUUUGCCGCCUGGGAAGUACGGACGCAAGUCUGAAACUUAAAGGAAUUGGCGGGGGAGCA